This is an RNA transcript of Fragaria vesca subsp. vesca, 590 nucleotides long. RefSeq lists it as uncharacterized. Lineage: Eukaryota; Viridiplantae; Streptophyta; Magnoliopsida; Rosales; Rosaceae. The record is from RefSeq and is a predicted model, not a curated record. The transcript has 3 exons.
CAAUCUCAUCAUUCCACAUCACAAUCUUCAAACAACCAAUUCAAUCUCACUCUUUCUUUUCUCCCUUAAUCUUUCAUUCUUAGCGAUUCGAAAUGUCGAUGCUCGAAUCCUUCUUCAACAAGGGCUUCAAAGCCGCCAAAUGCAAAACUAUUCCACGGAUAAAGCUGUUGAGGAACAGGAGAGACUGGCCAAGAAGCUACUGCUCGGAUUCGGGUAGAGCAUAUUAUUAGAGAAGAGAAUAUGACGGCAGCUCAGGAGUUAAUUGAGCUAUAUUGUGAGCUGAUAUCUGUCCGCCUUCCAAUACUUGAUUAGCGACGAAGCUUAUUGGAGUUAUUGCGAGGAGAUCUGAGUCGAAUCUAUUCAAUCUAACAAACGCUAGUCAUCGCCGGAAACCCAAUACAAUCUGAUUUAGGUUCCUUCUCUUUCUAAAUAUCACGAUUUGUUAGACAUAACCAAAAGAGCAGCAGACGGAAGGGAGCCCACUCGCAGACGUCAUAGAGGCAAGAACAACGUGCAUCACGUUAUAGACACGUAAGUGAGAACCUUAAUUUGGUUAUAUCACCUUGCCUAUGUCGAUAUCAAACUAGAUU